GUUCUCCCCUGAUGAUGGAAAUGGUGAAUUUCCGAAGCGUUGGGAUGUUCUAUUUUACUUUUUAAAACUAAAAUAUGGGAAAUAUACAAACCCACAGACAAGAAGAAGAAAUAGAAGUCGACACGGAAGAAAAUAAGAAACAACAUCAAAAAGAUGAUAAGAGCGUGAAGUCAGGCACGUUGAUAGUUUAUUUAUAAAUAGAUGCCCGAGAAAGGGAGAGAGAGAGAAGAUGCAGGAGGAGGCACCAGCAAGGAAUCUUACAAAAAUAUACAAACCCAUGGGCAAGAAGAAAAAAUAGAAGAUGAUACAGAUGAAAAUGAGAUACAAAAUCAGAGAUGAAGAUGAGAGCUUGGACUCAGACACAUUGAUGGUAUUUUCUCAAAUAGAUGUGCGAGAAAGAGAGAUAAGAACAACAUGAAGGAGAAUGUCCGAGUAACGUAUACGCAUUACCUAUAAUACAGAUUGGACAAGAAAGAAGUAAAGAGCGAAAUGAGGAAAAUGAAGACGAGGAAGCAGCAGCAGAAAGAGCAAAAACAAUCCAAGUUCUUCUGCCUGGAAAUCGUCUUAAGAUUAUUUCAAGGACGAAAUGUAUAUGCCACAUUUUCAAGUUUAAGGACACAGUUUAAUUCUGAUUAUUAAAAAUAUCGAUAACUUGUGCUUACCAUGUGCAAUAGUUGCUGUAAUUUGCAC
Molecule: long non-coding RNA, 690 nt
Organism: Belonocnema kinseyi
Lineage: Eukaryota; Metazoa; Arthropoda; Insecta; Hymenoptera; Cynipidae
Exons: 3
Source: RefSeq, a predicted model, not a curated record